This 568-nucleotide ribosomal RNA is filed under the name Fermentozyma sake. RNAcentral describes it as "eukaryotic LSU rRNA". It matches the Rfam family "Eukaryotic large subunit ribosomal RNA", at positions 73 to 668 of the family's 3401-position model. Lineage: Eukaryota; Fungi; Ascomycota; Pichiomycetes; Serinales; Debaryomycetaceae. The record is from RNAcentral.
GAUGCCUCAGUACGGCGAGUGAGCGGCAAAAGCUCAAAUUUGAAAUCUGCGUAAGCCGAGUUGUAAUUUGAAGAUGGCUACUUUGGUAAUGGCUCUUGUCUAUGUUCCUUGGAACAGGACGUCACAGAGGGUGAGAAUCCCGUGCGAUGAGAUGUCCAUUACCGUGUAAAGUGCUUUCGAAGAGUCGAGUUGUUUGGGAAUGCAGCUCUAAGUGGGUGGUAAAUUCCAUCUAAAGCUAAAUAUUGGCGAGAGACCGAUAGCGAACAAGUACAGUGAUGGAAAGAUGAAAAGAACUUUGAAAAGAGAGUGAAAAAGUACGUGAAAUUGUUGAAAGGGAAGGGCUUGAGAUCAGACUUGGUAUUUUGUAUGGCUUGCUUUCGGGCGGGUCCUCUGCAGUUUACUGGGCCAGCAUCGGUUUGGGUGGCAGGAUAAUAGCAUAGGAAUGUGGCUCUACUUCGGUGGAGUGUUAUAGCCUUUGUUGAUACUGCCUGCCUAGACCGAGGACUGCGUCUUUUGACUAGGAUGCUGGCAUAAUGAUCCUAAGCCGCCCGUCUUGAAACACGGACCA